CGUCUUCGGCGUCCGAGUUGUAAUUUGAAGAAGGUAACUUUGGGGCUGGUCCUUGUCUAUGUUCCUUGGAACAGGACGUCAUAGAGGGUGAGAAUCCCGUGUGGCGAGGAUCCCAGUCCUUUGUAAAGUGCUUUCGACGAGUCGAGUUGUUUGGGAAUGCAGCUCUAAGUGGGUGGUAAAUUCCAUCUAAAGCUAAAUAUUGGCGAGAGACCGAUAGCGAACAAGUACAGUGAUGGAAAGAUGAAAAGAACUUUGAAAAGAGAGUGAAAAAGUACGUGAAAUUGUUGAAAGGGAAGGGCAUUUGAUCAGACAUGGCGUUUGCUUCGGCUUUCGCUGGGCCAGCAUCAGUUUUGGCGGUUGGAUAAAUCCUCGGGAAUGUGGCUCUACUUGUAGAGUGUUAUAGCCCGUGGGAAUACAGCCA
Molecule: ribosomal RNA, 421 nt
Filed under: Kluyveromyces nonfermentans
Lineage: Eukaryota; Fungi; Ascomycota; Saccharomycetes; Saccharomycetales; Saccharomycetaceae
Description: eukaryotic LSU rRNA
Rfam family: Eukaryotic large subunit ribosomal RNA
Source: RNAcentral